RNAcentral lists this ribosomal RNA (253 nucleotides) under uncultured bacterium. RNAcentral describes it as "partial 16S ribosomal RNA". It matches the Rfam family "Bacterial small subunit ribosomal RNA", at positions 524 to 776 of the family's 1533-position model. The record is from RNAcentral.
UACGUAGGGGGCGAGCGUUGUCCGAAGUUACUGGGCGUAAAGCGCGCGUAGGCGGGUUGGCAAGUCUGCUGUGAAAGCCUGGAGCUUAACUCCGGAGGGUCGGUGGAUACUGCCAAUCUUGAAGGGACUAGGGGGAGAUGGAAUUACCGGUGUAGCGGUGAAAUGCGUAGAGAUCGGUAGGAACACCAGUGGCGAAGGCGGCGAUCUGGGAAGAUACUGACGCUGAGGUGCGAAAGCGUGGGGAGCAAACAGG